Scleropages formosus (Asian bonytongue) is the source of this 995-nucleotide long non-coding RNA. RefSeq lists it as uncharacterized. The record is from RefSeq and is a predicted model, not a curated record. The transcript has 3 exons. NCBI's taxonomy places the organism in Eukaryota, Metazoa, Chordata, Actinopteri, Osteoglossiformes, Osteoglossidae.
CAUAAUCCGACAGGAUUUGUCUCCUUCCUCGUCACGGCUGGUUUCGGCGCUAAAGAUGGGCCUCCGCCUCCCUGGAGAUGAGCCAAUCAGAGAUGGAACGGACAGAGCGGUCGCCAGCCAUGGGUCCACCUUCCCAGAGCCGAACCCUUCAUGUGCUGUUAUUGGGGUGCCUGACAGCCGAAGUCAAAGGCAGCUCCCAGGGGAAGCAUGUGAGGCCUGAAGAAGAAAUCAGCGGCCAGAGCAGCACACCCACACAGCUGUGGGUCGGCGCAGUGAUUUCGGCGCAGCGAACAAUGGAGGGAGCGGGACGGCCGGGAUCUCGACACGGGGCUCGACCCCACUGCAUGAGGAAGACGGCGGAGGGGAGGCGGAGAAGAAGACGCGGCUGCGCUGUGAUGGCAGGGAAACCUUUAUUAGGGAAUGUUGUUGUCAAACGGCCUCGUCGCGUCCCUUGGCUUCCCGUGCAUUUCGGCCCGAAAUAUCGUUGCCCAAGUGACCCCUUCGAUGUCAGCGGUACCAGGCGAGGACAGACAGAUUUCCUAUGAUUUUUCAUUUUUAUUUUUAAAUUUAAUAGAUUAACUGUGCAGCACCGGGUCACAACAGCAUAAAAAGAGAAACGGGGCGCAGAUCAUGCAAAUUUGUCCACAUGCACGAAACAAGGGCAAGGGGUUACCGCAUUUCCAGGGUAAGAUGACAGACAGCUGUCUAAAAGGAACCGAAAAGGUGUCGAUCCAUUCCGAAACUGGCCUGAGUUAUCGUGAGGAACAAAUGUCAAUUUUUUCCAGCGAAACUGAACACUUUGCUGACCCACAUAUUAGAUUCAUGUCGAUCCCCAGGAGUACAACAGUGUAACAGAAAUACACUAGGAAUACAGUAAAAUAUACUUAGUUGCCCAGUAAGAAUAGCUCAGACCUUACCACCCGGGUUCACAACUGCACUCCUCACGCAGCGCCCCGCCCCACCCGGAGCAAUGCCAGGCGCCCCAGGCCCGCCGU